Molecule: ribosomal RNA, 469 nt
Filed under: uncultured bacterium
Lineage: Bacteria
Description: SSU rRNA
Rfam family: Bacterial small subunit ribosomal RNA
Source: RNAcentral
AGGACGAACGCUGGCGGCGUGCUUAACACAUGCAAGUCGAGCGGAAAGGCCCUUCGGGGUACUCGAGCGGCGAACGGGUGAGUAACACGUGAGUAAUCUGCCCCUAGCUCUGGGAUAGCUCCGGGAAACCGGGAUUAAUACCGGAUACGACCACCUUAGACAUCUUUUGUGGUGGAAAGAAUUUCGGCUAGGGAUGAGCUCGCGGCCUAUCAGCUUGUUGGUGGGGUAACGCCUACCAAGGCGACGACGGGUAGCCGGCCUGAGAGGGCGACCGGCCACACUGGGACUGAGACACGGCCCAGACUCCUACGGGAGGCAGCAGUGGGAAUAUUGCGCAAUGGGCGAAAGCCUGACGCAGCGACGCCGCGUGGGGAUGAAGGCCUUCGGGUUGUAACCCCUUUCAGCAGGGACGAAGCGAAGUGACGGUACCUGCAGAAGAAGCGCCGGCUAACUACGUGCCAGCAGCCGC